Molecule: long non-coding RNA, 304 nt
Organism: Pieris brassicae (large cabbage white)
Lineage: Eukaryota; Metazoa; Arthropoda; Insecta; Lepidoptera; Pieridae
Exons: 2
Source: RefSeq, a predicted model, not a curated record
AAUGGCUUUGGGGUGCAUUGUGCUGUGGUGUUCCAGGUAUACCGUGCUACUUCUGCUCCUGCUGUGAGAAGAAUGAUGAUGAUAGGGAGCGACCCAGAGUAAAUCGAACUGCAACAGCCGAACGAAUGUCCCGUCCCCACCGUCCCCACGCACCCAGAAGCAGAAAAUCCACCCCAGAAAUGUUGUCAGCAGUCCGCUGCGCCCUUUCUCAGCUUCAAGGUGAACCAGCACCACCGUUACCCAGCAGAAAGUCAAAACACGCACCGGAACCAGGGUGAAUAAAAUAAAAAUUAAAUUUUUCGCC